CACUCGAACCGCGUCUCGGACCAAAAUCAAAUUCCCCCGUUUAAACAGGAAGGAAAAAAACCCCAGUACUCUCUCUCUCUCUCUCUCCUCUCUCUUUUAUGGGAAAAUCACUUCCGCCUACCGCCAGUCUCCAAGAAUUCGCUCGAAUUAUAGCCUCGAGCAACCACCGUCCGAAGCGCAUCAAACCCAUAUCGGGACCCCGGUUCGCCCCGUCCCCCGAACCUUACAAGCGGAGGUGGGUCCGAGUGGAAUCGGAGCAGCAGUUGAGGUUCAAUAAGAAGACGAUGGAGGAAGGACGGCGGCCGCAGCAGCAGCAGGAGGGGCAGCAGCAGAACAACCGGUUGCCGCUGGCGGCGGUGGUUUCCGACUGCGUGAAGCGGUGGUUUCAGGACACACUCAAGGAGGCCAAGGCCGGCGACGGCGCUAUGCAGAUUUUGGUGGGCCAGAUGUAUCACAAUGGAUAUGGUGUAAGCAGAGAUGACCACAAGGGGCGUGCUUGGCUGAAUAGAGCUUCCAAGAGUCGAUCCUCAGCAUGGAAAGUUGGUGACAAACAACCUGGUUACAAUGCAAGUGAUUCGGAUUCAGAUGACAUGAAGAGUGAAACCAAAUAAGUAUGGAUGUCCUUUUUUCCUGUCAAGAUUGACACUGAUAGAGUGACAGAUUGCUUGUCAAUGACACUUUACCUAGCUGUGCAAACCUAAUGAUGGCAGCCCUUUAAGCUGGUUGCUCUGCUGUGAUGUCCCUAUGACCUGCAGCCCAGUCAGCCUCUACAUCUCUGGGUCUGGGGUACCAUACGAGGUCAGCCAGCUCGAUUAUAUUUGGCUCAUUCUUAAUCCUUUUCGAAGCCUUAGGAUUGUAGUUCUCAUCCUCGGUACUCCCAGUAUCACUGACGCGUUCUCCCCGAGCAAAUACUACAUGUUGAUAUUCUCCUCUGAUCUCAUACCACAGCUCUCUCUCAGACUAUUACUACAAGUCACAACACCGUUUUCCCGAUAACUCUGCUAGGAACUUUGAGAACAAAGCAUAUGCUCAGAUCUUCUCUUGCCUCCAGCAAACAGUACCAUAAUUUGUAAAUGAGCAUGGAACAGCAAUUUAGUAAAUUGGUAUAUUUUUGGGCUGUGCAAGUAACACCAGGCUUCUGUAACAUCGCGGUUUGCCUGCACUUUUCUUCUCAUUAGCCUUUUUCCUGAGAUCCCUUUGUCACCUUGUGUUUUUUUAUGGCAGUACUUGUCCAAAUUUUGAUUGUAUUUAUACUGAUGGCUCUGUUUGAAUCAUACUGAUGUUUCUUUUUCAGCCCACUAAUUUUUUUUUUUCCUUUCUUGAUGCUGUUGGUGGGUUCAUGAAGCCGUUGCGGCUGUGUUGAAUAAAUGAAGUUUUGUUCCUGUUUUUUUUUGGUUUGAUG
Molecule: RNA transcript, 1402 nt
Organism: Rhododendron vialii
Lineage: Eukaryota; Viridiplantae; Streptophyta; Magnoliopsida; Ericales; Ericaceae
Exons: 5
Source: RefSeq, a predicted model, not a curated record